RNAcentral lists this ribosomal RNA (821 nucleotides) under Aquimarina celericrescens. Its description in RNAcentral is "partial 23S ribosomal RNA". It matches the Rfam family "Bacterial large subunit ribosomal RNA", at positions 1 to 841 of the family's 2925-position model. The record is from RNAcentral. Lineage: Bacteria; Pseudomonadati; Bacteroidota; Flavobacteriia; Flavobacteriales; Flavobacteriaceae.
GCAUAAGCUUGAUAAGGGCGUAUGGGGAAUGCCUAGGCUCUCAGAGGCGAUGAAGGACGUGAUAAGCUGCGAAAAGCUGCGGGGAUUGGCACAUACAAGUUGAUCCGCAGAUAUCCGAAUGGGGCAACCCGGUAUAUUGAAGAUAUAUCAUCCGCAAGGAAGCAAACCCGGAGAACUGAAACAUCUAAGUACCCGGAGGAAGAGAAAACAAUAGUGAUUGCGCUAGUAGUGGCGAGCGAACGCGCAAUAGCCCAAACCAAUAAGUUUACGGACUUAUUGGGGUUGUAGGACCACAACAUUAGAGAUUUAAUGAACUAGAACAAGUUGGAAAGCUUGGCCAUAGACGGUGACAGCCCGGUAUAGGUAAAGAGAAUUAAUAUAGUGGUAUCCUGAGUAGUGCGGGGCACGUGAAACCCUGUAUGAAUCCGGCGGGACCAUCCGCCAAGGCUAAAUACUACUGAGAGACCGAUAGUGAACCAGUACCGUGAGGGAAAGGUGAAAAGAACCCUGAACAAGGGAGUGAAAUAGAUCCUGAAACCAUACGCUUACAAGCGGUCGGAGCCUUUAGGGGUGACGGCGUGCCUUUUGCAUAAUGAGCCUACGAGUUACUUUAUCUAGCAAGGUUAAGGUGUUCAGCACUGGAUCCGUAGCGAAAGCGAGUCUUAAUAGGGCGCUAUAGUUAGGUUGAGUAGACGCGAAACCGUGUGAUCUACCCUUGGGCAGGUUGAAGCUGUGGUAACACAUAGUGGAGGACCGAACCCGUUGACGUUGAAAAGUCUUGGGAUGACCUGAGGGUAGGGGUGAAAGGCCAAUCAAACUCG